Artibeus jamaicensis (Jamaican fruit-eating bat) is the source of this 949-nucleotide long non-coding RNA. RefSeq lists it as uncharacterized. The transcript is spliced from 5 exons. NCBI's taxonomy places the organism in Eukaryota, Metazoa, Chordata, Mammalia, Chiroptera, Phyllostomidae. The record is from RefSeq and is a predicted model, not a curated record.
AAUAAAGUAACCUGGACUGUUGUACUAUGGCCGUCCAUACUGCUUGUACCCAAAGAGCAAAUCAUUUAUCCUUGACCAUUCAAGUUGUCUGCAGCAUCUCGGUCAAACCUCUGAGCUCUGUGGUUAGUUUGAAGCAUUAGAUACGCAGUUGAGGACAAGAGCUGAAACCAGGAGCUGAGCAUCUGUAUCAUCUCUGUGACUUCUCACUUAUCCCCGGACCUGUCACAGAGAGUCUUCUGGUGCUGAUUUCUCACCUAUGAAGUGACUGCCUUGAUAUUUACCACCAGAGAAUGGUGCCUGUACUUAUUCACAAGGAGAAAAGCAACUGGAACCAGGAGAUGCCCACUAGUGUAUACUGAAUGGCCUGUGUCAGGGCAUUGCCUCAGCACAACCCAGAACUGGGGAGAAGCAUCCCAGCCACCCGGCAGAGCAGAGAGGGUGGAGACAGCCAAGGGGGGUGCUGACGUCCAGCUCCCACGGCCAUGACCACUUAGUGUCUUCUGGAGGACACAGAGGACGAACCAUCACAGCUCCAGCACCGAUGUGCACAGUAAACAUCUACAUGGUGAGAAACAGCCGAAACUCUAUUUUCUCUGCUGAUGGAAGAGGGUAUGAGAGAAGAAAACACAAAACAGGCCCUAACUGCACAGGGCUCACGUUGUUUUUCUCACGGGGGCUCGCUUACUGCCUGGGCAGCUUGCUUCUGGAGGGGCAGCAGGCUGUGGGGGUGGGGCCAGAACUGGGAGAGGCAAGAGAAAGGCAGCCUUCAAGGCUGAGCGAAUUCCCUGAGGCACCCAAGGGGUAAACAAAGGAGUUCAGAAGCGGCAAACCCUUGCUGCCUCUGUGCCAUCCAUCUAGAACAGAAGAGAGGCAAGACGCUGUGGAAUGGGAAAAGAUAUUUUCAACUAGCAAAGCCUUAAGAUCCCAAAUAAAUGCCUACCGAAGUAAC